Molecule: ribosomal RNA, 433 nt
Filed under: uncultured bacterium
Lineage: Bacteria
Description: partial 16S ribosomal RNA
Rfam family: Bacterial small subunit ribosomal RNA
Source: RNAcentral
AGCGAACGCUGGCGGCAGGCCUAACACAUGCAAGUCGAACGAACUCUUCGGAGUUCGUGGCGGACGGGUGAGUAACACGUGGGAACGUGCCAUUAGGUUCGGAAUAACCCAGGGAAACUUGUGCUCAUACCGAAUGUGCCCUUCGGGGGAAAGAUUUAUCGCCUUUAGAGCGGCCCGCGUCUGAUUAGCUAGUUGGUGAGGUAAAGGCUCACCAAGGCGACGAUCAGUAGCUGGUCUGAGAGGAUGAUCAGCCACAUUGGGACUGAGACACGGCCCAAACUCCUACGGGAGGCAGCAGUGGGGAAUCUUGCGCAAUGGGCGAAAGCCUGACGCAGCCAUGCCGCGUGAAUGAUGAAGGUCUUAGGAUUGUAAAAUUCUUUCACCGGGGACGAUAAUGACGGUACCCGGAGAAGAAGCCCCGGCUAACUUCGUG